Molecule: small RNA, 1818 nt
Filed under: Saccoglossus kowalevskii
Lineage: Eukaryota; Metazoa; Hemichordata; Enteropneusta; Harrimaniidae
Description: v-erb-like protein receptor
Source: RNAcentral
GCAAAACAAACCACUCAAAUCGUGAGCGGACGCCCGAACGAUCGGAUGUGUACUACUGGUUCAAAUUCACUUCUAGAGGAUCGACCAUAUUAUAUCCAUGGAGGGAAUGAAAUUGACAUCGGGUUUCAUACUUUGUCUUCUAUUAUUUGCACACAGAAUAAGUGGUGAUACGAAAGUGUGCAGUGGAACAAGUAACUCACUUUCAAUUAUGAAUGAUGUAGCUGAACGUUACAGAAGAUUGACUUCCUUAUAUGGCAAACAGUGCACGCAUAUCAACGGUAACUUGGAAAUAGUGGGAUUGGAAGACCCGGAUGUAGACUUGACCUUCUUAGAAAGCAUCCAAGAAGUGAGUGGCUACGUUCUCAUUGCCCUGAAUUAUGUACCAACCAUGCCUUUGAAAAGUCUACGGGUUAUUCGGGGAAACAGUGACUGGAACACCAACGCUCUGGCAGUAGUGUUGAACUAUGACCCUAUCACAGAGGGAUUGGGAUUGAAAGAACUUCAAUUCUAUAACCUGCUCGAAAUUAGUGGGACUCACAAUGUAAAUAUAUCUUCUAAUCGUGAUCUUUGUUACGUUGACACUAUUAUCUGGGAUGAUAUUAUCGAUCCUUCUACUCAAAAGGCUGUCAUCAGAGGUGUAUCAAAUGGUAAAUGUAAAAACUGUGCAUCGGACUGUGACGGUCAUUGUUGGGGUUCUAAAAACUGUCAAGAGCUGACCAAAACAAUUUGUCACGCAAAGUGCAAAUAUCGUUGCAAAUCAAGUCGUAAACGUGAUUGUUGUCAUAGCAGCUGUAGUGCUGGAUGUACAGGACCGAGCAGCCAAGAUUGUAUGGCGUGUCGUGAAUUCGAGCACGAAGGGAAAUGCGUUGAAUACUGUCCCCCGACGUACGUGUACGACCCACAGUUCCAGGGUUCUUGCCUUGAUGCGUGCCCAGCUCACCUGGUAGAAAAUGAUCGACAUUGUGUACAAACCUGUCCAGAUGGGAAGAUUACUGUAAAGGGAAAAUGUCAUGAUUGUGAGGGCGUGUGUCCUAAGGUUUGUCCGGGGAUCGGCAAUCCAGAGUUUGGUGCGUUUGAAUACGUGGAUGAACGCAAUAUACAUGCAUUUCAGAACUGUACAAUAAUUGAAGGAAAUGUCAUCAUCUUACCAAGUACAUUCAACGGAGAUCCGUUUUUAGGAGUAGUUGGAAUAUCAUCGCAAGCUUUGGAAGUUUUCAGCAGUGUGCAGGAAAUCACUGGACAUCUGGCUUUACUCCAUUCCAGUCCUGAAAUGAAAGAUUUUUCAGUAUUUGGAAAUCUCCAAAUAAUUCGAGGACAAGAUCUGUACUGUAUUGCGGGUGCUGAUGAGUGCAAUGAUUGUAAAAACAUGAAGGAUGGUGAAUAUUGUCUUGAAAAGUGUCCAUCGAUGAAAUAUGCCAAUUCAAGAAAAUUGUGUCGUCCGUGUCACGAAUUUUGUUCUAUAGGAUGCACAGGGCCUUCAAAUGUGAGGAAACAUGGCGGCUGCAAAGCAUGUAUCAGGUCGAAAUACUUAGAUGACGGGACCGUGGAAUGCAUUGACCCAGCCGCGCCGUCUUUUAAAUGUGUAUCAGAGGAUGAAGAAGAAUGUCUUGAUCAAUGUACCGACUUGGUGGACGACCAAGACAGUCGGAUUCUGGAACUUGAAAAAGAAGUCGCCAUAUACCGUGAACAAGUUACGCACUUGAAUGAGGUUUUAAAAUUGCACUUCAUCACAGAGCACGGCAGGGAAUUCAAAGAAAGUGACUUGAAGAUCAGCUAAGUUUGUGAACAACUUGGAAAUAAAAUGAUCAAACAUUCAAA